UUGGUGGUGAAAUCCCAGAGCUUAACUCUGGAACUGCCAUCAAAACUUUUCAGCUAGAGUAUGAUAGAGGAAAGCAGAAUUUCUAGUGUAGAGGUGAAAUUCGUAGAUAUUAGAAAGAAUACCAAUUGCGAAGGCAGCUUUCUGGAUCAUUACUGACACUGAGGAACGAAAGCAUGGGUAGCGAAGAGGAUUAGAUACCCUCGUAGUCCAUGCCGUAAACGAUGUGUGUUAGACGUUGGAAAUUUAUUUUCAGUGUCGCAGCGAAAGCGAUAAACACACCGCCUGGGGAGUACGACCGCAAGGUUAAAACUCAAAUGAAUUGACGG
RNAcentral lists this ribosomal RNA (326 nucleotides) under uncultured bacterium. RNAcentral describes it as "bacterial SSU rRNA". It matches the Rfam family "Bacterial small subunit ribosomal RNA", at positions 588 to 916 of the family's 1533-position model. The record is from RNAcentral.